This 287-nucleotide long non-coding RNA is filed under the name Anas platyrhynchos platyrhynchos (common mallard). Its description in RNAcentral is "lncRNA (ENSAPLG00000024952.1)". Lineage: Eukaryota; Metazoa; Chordata; Aves; Anseriformes; Anatidae. The record is from RNAcentral.
GUGCACACAGGUCAAAAGCUGUAUGAAGAAAGUCUGUCAACUUCCCUUCAGGCCUGAGUCUCAGAUGCAGAGUACUUUUUGAACAGGUCCACCAACUUGAAGAGAAUUGAUCUUCCUCCCAAGCUCUAUGAAACGGUGUCUCAGCUAUCAGGGGUACCUUUUCACAGACAAUUAAAAGACCAAAGAGAGGAGCAGGAGUGAGAGGGAAGACACUGGGUGUUAAUUAGAUUUUUUUUUUACAAGUAAAUGAACCUGUCACGCAAAGGGAGUGUCUGAGAUUUGUUGUC